GACUGCUCUGGUGGCCUAGGUGGUUAGAGCCUCCGUCUUAGAUGCAAGAGGUUGUGGGUUCAAAUCCCAGCUGAGUCA
Molecule: non-coding RNA, 78 nt
Organism: Potamilus streckersoni
Lineage: Eukaryota; Metazoa; Mollusca; Bivalvia; Unionida; Unionidae
Source: the annotation of a GenBank genome assembly